Molecule: transfer RNA, 73 nt
Filed under: Juglanconis juglandina
Lineage: Eukaryota; Fungi; Ascomycota; Sordariomycetes; Diaporthales; Juglanconidaceae
Also listed under: 2 other names
Description: tRNA-Gln
Rfam family: tRNA
About the family: Transfer RNA (tRNA) molecules are approximately 80 nucleotides in length. Their secondary structure includes four short double-helical elements and three loops (D, anti-codon, and T loops). Further hydrogen bonds mediate the characteristic L-shaped molecular structure. tRNAs have two regions of fundamental functional importance: the anti-codon, which is responsible for specific mRNA codon recognition, and the 3' end, to which the tRNAs corresponding amino acid is attached (by aminoacyl-tRNA synthetases). tRNAs cope with the degeneracy of the genetic code in two manners: having more than one tRNA (with a specific anti-codon) for a particular amino acid; and 'wobble' base-pairing, i.e. permitting non-standard base-pairing at the 3rd anti-codon position.
Source: RNAcentral
UAUCUUGUGGGCUAAAGGGUAAGCCGAGAAUUUUUGGUGUUCUACAAUGUAGGUUCGAAUCCUGCCAAGAUAA